This 24-nucleotide non-coding RNA is filed under the name Arabidopsis thaliana (thale cress). The record is from RNAcentral. Lineage: Eukaryota; Viridiplantae; Streptophyta; Magnoliopsida; Brassicales; Brassicaceae.
AUCUCCGCACGAAAGCUUCGACCU